RNAcentral lists this ribosomal RNA (2916 nucleotides) under Acinetobacter baumannii. Its description in RNAcentral is "23S ribosomal RNA". It matches the Rfam family "Bacterial large subunit ribosomal RNA". The record is from RNAcentral. Lineage: Bacteria; Pseudomonadati; Pseudomonadota; Gammaproteobacteria; Moraxellales; Moraxellaceae.
GUUGUAUAGUCAAGUAAUUAAGUGCAUGUGGUGGAUGCCUUGGCAGUCAGAGGCGAUGAAAGACGUGAUAGCCUGCGAAAAGCUCCGGGGAGGCGGCAAAUAUCCUUUGAUCCGGAGAUGUCUGAAUGGGGGAACCCACCUACUUUAAGGUAGGUAUUGCAACAUGAAUACAUAGUGUUGCAAGGCGAACGAGGGGAAGUGAAACAUCUCAGUACCCUUAGGAAAAGAAAUCAAUUGAGAUUCCCUCAGUAGCGGCGAGCGAACGGGGAUCAGCCCAUUAAGUUAUGUGUGUUUUAGUGGAACGCUCUGGGAAGUGCGAACGUAGAGGGUGAUAUUCCCGUACACGAAAGGGCACACAUAAUGAUGACGAGUAGGGCGAGGCACGUGAAACCUUGUCUGAAUAUGGGGGGACCAUCCUCCAAGGCUAAAUACUCCUGACUGACCGAUAGUGAACCAGUACCGUGAGGGAAAGGCGAAAAGAACCCCUGUGAGGGGAGUGAAAUAGAUCCUGAAACCGCAUGCAUACAAGCAGUGGGAGCACCUUCGUGGUGUGACUGCGUACCUUUUGUAUAAUGGGUCAGCGACUUAUAUUCAGUAGCGAGGUUAACCGUAUAGGGGAGCCGUAGAGAAAUCGAGUCUUAAUAGGGCGUUUAGUUGCUGGGUAUAGACCCGAAACCAGGCGAUCUAUCCAUGAGCAGGUUGAAGGUUGGGUAACACUAACUGGAGGACCGAACCCACUGUCGUUGAAAAGCCAGGGGAUGACUUGUGGAUAGGGGUGAAAGGCUAAUCAAGCCUGGUGAUAGCUGGUUCUCCCCGAAAGCUAUUUAGGUAGCGCCUCGGACGAAUACCAUAGGGGGUAGAGCACUGUUUCGGCUAGGGGGUCAUCCCGACUUACCAAACCGAUGCAAACUCCGAAUACCUAUGAGUACUAUCCGGGAGACAGACUGCGGGUGCUAACGUCCGUAGUCAAGAGGAAAACAAUCCAGACCGCCAGCUAAGGCCCCAAAAUCAUAGUUAAGUGGGAAACGAUGUGGGAAGGCAUAGACAGCUAGGAGGUUGGCUUAGAAGCAGCCACCCUUUAAAGAAAGCGUAAUAGCUCACUAGUCGAGUCGGCCUGCGCGGAAGAUGUAACGGGGCUAAAACUAUGUGCCGAAGCUGCGGAUGUAUACUUUGUAUACGUGGUAGGGGAGCGUUCUGUAAGCCGAUGAAGGUGUGUUGAGAAGCAUGCUGGAGGUAUCAGAAGUGCGAAUGCUGACGUGAGUAACGACAAAACGGGUGAAAAACCCGUUCGCCGAAAGACCAAGGGUUCCAGUCCAACGUUAAUCGGGGCUGGGUGAGUCGACCCUAAGGCGAGGCCGAAAGGCGUAGUCGAUGGGAAAAUGGUUAAUAUUCCAUUACUUCUGUGUAAUGCGAUGAGAGGACGGAGAAGGCUAAAUCAGCCUGGCGUUGGUUGUCCAGGUGAAAGGAUGUAGGCAUGUAUCUUAGGCAAAUCCGGGGUACUCUAUGCUGAGAUCUGAUAGCAAGCUGUACUUGUACAGCGAAGUGGUUGAUGCCAUGCUUCCAGGAAAAGUCUCUAAGCUUCAGUUACACAGGAAUCGUACCCGAAACCGACACAGGUGGUCAGGUCGAGUAGACCAAGGCGCUUGAGAGAACUCUGCUGAAGGAACUAGGCAAAAUGGUACCGUAACUUCGGGAGAAGGUACGCUGUUGUUGGUGAUGGAACUCGCUUCCUGAGCUGACGACAGCCGCAGAAACCAGGCCGCUGCAACUGUUUAUUAAAAACAUAGCACUCUGCAAACACGAAAGUGGACGUAUAGGGUGUGAUGCCUGCCCGGUGCUGGAAGGUUAAUUGAUGGGGUUAGCGUAAGCGAAGCUCUUGAUCGAAGCCCCAGUAAACGGCGGCCGUAACUAUAACGGUCCUAAGGUAGCGAAAUUCCUUGUCGGGUAAGUUCCGACCUGCACGAAUGGCAUAAUGAUGGCGGCGCUGUCUCCAGCAGAGGCUCAGUGAAAUCGAAAUCGCUGUGAAGAUGCAGUGUACCCGCGGCUAGACGGAAAGACCCCGUGAACCUUUACUGCAGCUUGACACUGAACUUUGACCUUACUUGUGUAGGAUAGGUGGGAGGCUUUGAAGCUGGAACGCUAGUUCCAGUGGAGCCGUCCUUGAAAUACCACCCUGGUAAUGUUGAGGUUCUAACUCUGUCCCGUGAUCCGGGACGAGGACCGUGUCUGGUGGGUAGUUUGACUGGGGCGGUCUCCUCCUAAAGAGUAACGGAGGAGUACGAAGGUGCGCUCAGCGUGGUCGGAAAUCACGCGUAGAGUAUAAAGGCAAAAGCGCGCUUAACUGCGAGACCCACAAGUCGAGCAGGUACGAAAGUAGGUCUUAGUGAUCCGGUGGUUCUGUAUGGAAGGGCCAUCGCUCAACGGAUAAAAGGUACUCUGGGGAUAACAGGCUGAUACCGCCCAAGAGUUCAUAUCGACGGCGGUGUUUGGCACCUCGAUGUCGGCUCAUCUCAUCCUGGGGCUGAAGCAGGUCCCAAGGGUAUGGCUGUUCGCCAUUUAAAGAGGUACGCGAGCUGGGUUUAGAACGUCGUGAGACAGUUCGGUCCCUAUCUACCGUGGGCGCUGGAAAUUUGAGAGGAUCUGCUCCUAGUACGAGAGGACCAGAGUGGACGAACCUCUGGUGUACCGGUUGUGACGCCAGUCGCAUCGCCGGGUAGCUAUGUUCGGAAGGGAUAACCGCUGAAAGCAUCUAAGCGGGAAGCCUACCUCAAGAUAAGAUUUCCUAGGACUUUAUGUCCUCUAAAGAGCCGUUCGAGACUAGGACGUUGAUAGGUUGGAUGUGGAAGCAUAGUGAUAUGUGAAGCUGACCAAUACUAAUUGCUCGUGAGGCUUGACUAUACAACACCCAAGCAGUUG